Molecule: small nuclear RNA, 100 nt
Filed under: Theobroma cacao (cacao)
Lineage: Eukaryota; Viridiplantae; Streptophyta; Magnoliopsida; Malvales; Malvaceae
Source: RNAcentral
GUCCAUUCGAGGAGAUUCGAUAAAAUUGAAACGAUACGGAUAAGAUUAGCAUGGCCCUGCAUAAAGAUGACACACAAAUCGAGAAAUGGUCCAUAACAAU